CAAGGGGUGCAAAUCCCGCAUCACAUGGGUAUAGCUCCUAAACCCUCAUGGAGACCAACCUGGUCAAGGGUUCAAGUCACUAGUCUAACUGGAUUUGCAUUAAAAUAAAAUAUUAAUUUUCUACAUAUAACUUUGAUAAAUUUAAUAAUGAUAUUAGUAACGUAAAAAUAUUAAUAGAUUUGAUAAAUUUUCUACAUCAACCAUUACUCUUUAAUUGCAACAAAUAUAAAAGAUAAUCAUGGAUUAUCUAUUUCUUGAGAGCAUGUAAAUAAAAUAUAUGUAUAAAUAAUAAAAUGAUAUAUAUUCAUUCUUUCAUUUUUAUCAAGGGAAAAGGAUUGAUAGUUAUAAAAAUAAUUAAUUAUUAAAUAGAAAGUAUCGUCCUAAUUAUUCUAUUUAAUGAUUGGACUGAGAUUUAAAUAAGUAAAAUAAACCAUAACUGCAUAAUAGGAUUGAAUGUUGUACCUUGGUGGUUCAGUGUUUGUUAUCCAAGUAACAUGACACAAGUAUGGUUCUACGCAUGGGAACAAAAUUAUUUGGGACAAUAUUUUACUAAAAUUUACCAGAUAUUUAGAUAUGGAUUCGGAAAAUCUUUAGAAUUUGAAUCCAGUUUUAGAUCUGGCAAGAAGUAUCCGGAUCCAAUUGGAUACUAGAAGUUGUAUCUGAAUCCAAUCCAAAUUGAGUAUGGUUGGAAAUUAUCUAACCUGUUUUCAGCCCUAUCUUUUGGACUCAUUACCUUACUGUUUUGGCUCUCUAGUGAUUUUCCUGGAGAGGAAGGAAUUGGCAAACUUUUUGUCAGUGUCAUCAACUGGAGACUUAAUCAAGGAUGUUGAGUGCUAUCAACUUGAGUCCUAGUAAAGACCAAGAUAUUUCAAUUUCUUGCUUUCUUAAUUUAGUUUUGACUCUUGGAUUGCUUGUAUUUAUUUCAGUACCCAUGAAAUGAAUUAAUGGUCCCUGCCAUCUUCUCUUUCAAAAAAGAAGGCCAAAAAUUUCUGCUAUAGGUCUUCAGGUGAGUUAUAGGUCCAAAGAAGAGUUUUUAAAGAAAACAACAUACUAGUUCUAUAACAGAAAUUGGGAUCACAUAUUUUAUGUUUCUGUAUGAAACAAAAUUUGUGAAGCAAGGGAGAAAUAUGAGAGAGAGANN
Molecule: long non-coding RNA, 1141 nt
Filed under: Phoenix dactylifera (date palm)
Lineage: Eukaryota; Viridiplantae; Streptophyta; Magnoliopsida; Arecales; Arecaceae
Description: long non-coding RNA (PDAC_LNC006421)
Source: RNAcentral